UACUCUAGUGGCGAACGGGUGAGUAACACGUGGGUGAUCUGCCCUGCACUUCGGGAUAAGCCUGGGAAACUGGGUCUAAUACCGGAUAGUAGCCAUUUUUAGUGUGAUGGUUGGAAAGUUUUUUCGGUGUAGGAUGAGCUCGCGGCCUAUCAGCUUGUUGGUGGGGUAAUGGCCUACCAAGGCGGCGACGGGUAGCCGGCCUGAGAGGGUGGACGGCCACAUUGGGACUGAGAUACGGCCCAG
RNAcentral lists this ribosomal RNA (243 nucleotides) under uncultured Actinomycetales bacterium. RNAcentral describes it as "partial 16S ribosomal RNA". It matches the Rfam family "Bacterial small subunit ribosomal RNA", at positions 88 to 334 of the family's 1533-position model. The record is from RNAcentral. Lineage: Bacteria; Bacillati; Actinomycetota; Actinomycetes; Actinomycetales.